This 445-nucleotide ribosomal RNA is filed under the name uncultured Sphingobacteriales bacterium. RNAcentral's name for it is "bacterial SSU rRNA". It matches the Rfam family "Bacterial small subunit ribosomal RNA", at positions 936 to 1382 of the family's 1533-position model. Lineage: Bacteria; Pseudomonadati; Bacteroidota; Sphingobacteriia; Sphingobacteriales. The record is from RNAcentral.
AGCAUGUGGUUUAAUUCGAUGAUACGCGAGGAACUUACCUGGGCUCGAACGUAAGAUGACUGUAGGUGAAAGCUUACAUCUCUUCGGAGCAUUUUACGAGGUGCUGCAUGGUUGUCGUCAGCUCGUGCCGUGAGGUGUCGGGUUAAGUCCCAUAACGAGCGCAACCCCUACCUUUAGUUGCCAUCAGGUAAUGCUGGGGACUCUAAAGGAACUGCCUACGCAAGUAGUGAGGAAGGCGGGGAUGACGUCAAAUCAGCACGGCCCUUACGUCCAGGGCUACACACGUGCUACAAUGGCCGAUACAGAGGGCAGCUACCUGGUGACAGGAUGCAAAUCUCCAAAGUCGGUCUCAGUUCGGAUCGGAGUCUGCAACCCGACUCCGUGAAGUUGGAUUCGCUAGUAAUCGCGCAUCAGCCAUGGCGCGGUGAAUACGUUCCCGGGCCUU